Molecule: ribosomal RNA, 497 nt
Filed under: uncultured bacterium
Lineage: Bacteria
Description: partial 16S ribosomal RNA
Rfam family: Bacterial small subunit ribosomal RNA
Source: RNAcentral
GAUGAACGCUGGCGGCGUGCCUAAUACAUGCAAGUCGAGCGAACAGACGAGGAGCUUGCUCCUCUGACGUUAGCGGCGGACGGGUGAGGAACACGUGGAUAACCUACCUAUAAGACUGGGAUAACUUCGGGAAACCGGAGCUAAUACCGGAUAAUAUAGUGAACCGCAUGGUUCAAUAGUGAAAGACGGUUUUGCUGUCACUUAUAGAUGGAUCCGCGCCGCAUUAGCUAGUUGGUAAGGUAACGGCUUACCAAGGCAACGAUGCGUAGCCGACCUGAGAGGGUGAUCGGCCACACUGGAACUGAGACACGGUCCAGACUCCUACGGGAGGCAGCAGUAGGGAAUCUUCCGCAAUGGGCGAAAGCCUGACGGAGCAACGCCGCGUGAAUGAUGAAGGUCUUCGGAUCGUAAAACUCUGUUAUUAGGGAAGAACAAAUGUGUAAGUAACUAUGCACGUCUUGACGGUACCUACUCAGAAAGCCACGGCUAACUACGUG